RNAcentral lists this ribosomal RNA (1835 nucleotides) under marine metagenome. Its description in RNAcentral is "bacterial LSU rRNA". It matches the Rfam family "Bacterial large subunit ribosomal RNA", at positions 581 to 2457 of the family's 2925-position model. The record is from RNAcentral.
ACCCUUGAGGUGUGACCGCGUACCUUUUGUAUAAUGGGUCAGCGAGUUAUGGCAACAAGCAAGCUUAAGUCGAAAGAUGUAGGCGCAGCGAAAGCGAGUCUUAAUAGGGCGCUAAGUUUGUUGCUGUAGACCCGAAACCGAGUGAUCUAUCCAUGGCCAGGUUGAAGGUUAGGUAACACUAACUGGAGGACCGAACCCACUAAUGUUGAAAAAUUAGGGGAUGAGCUGUGGAUAGGGGUGAAAGGCCAAUCAAACUCGGAAAUAGCUGGUUCUCCCCGAAAUCUAUUUAGGUAGAGCGUUGCACGAAUUCUGUUGGGGGUAGAGCACUGGAAAGGCUAGAGGGUCACCUAGACUUAUCAACCCUUACCAAACUCCGAAUACCAACAAGAACUAUGCAGCAGACAGACUGCGGAUGCUAACGUCCGUAGUCAAGAGGGAAACAACCCAGAGCGCCGACUAAGGUCCCCAAAUUCAUGCUAAGUGUGAAAGGAUGUGGAAUUACAUAGACAGCUAGGAGGUUGGCUUAGAAGCAGCCACCCUUUAAAGAAAGCGUAACAGCUCACUAGUCGAGUGAUUCCGCGCCGAAGAUGUAACGGGGCUAAAGCAUGAUACCGAAGUCGCGUCUGUAAGAUUUAUCUUACGGGGUAGGGGAGCGUUCUGUAAGCCUGUGAAGGUGUAUCGUAAGGUAUGCUGGAGGUAUCAGAAGUGAGAAUGCUGACAUGAGUAGCGAUUAGAAGGGUGAGAAUCCCUUCCGCCGAAAUCCCAAGGGUUCCUGUUCUAUGCUGUUCAGAGCAGGGUGAGUCGGUACCUAAGGCGAGGCCGAAAGGCGUAGUCGAUGGCAAACAGGUUAAUAUUCCUGUACCAAGUAGGAAGGACGGAGAAGGUUAGGUCAGCUGGCUGUUGGAUAUGCCAGUGCAAGCGUAUAGCAUAGUUUACUAUGUAAGGCGUGAUGAUGAGGCACUUGUGCCGAAGUGAUUGAUACCAGCUUCCAGGAAAAGCUCCUACAAUAUAGGCCGUACCCCAAACCAACACAGGUGGGAUGGUAGAGUAUACCAAGGCGUUGAGAGAACCAUGCCUAAGGAACUCGGCAAAAUGCAUCCGUAACUUCGGGAGAAGGAUGACCGAGAUAAUGUGAAUCCCCUUGCGGGAGUAGCAGUAACCGGUGGCACAGAAACGGGGGUAACGACUGUUUAUUAAAAACACAGGUCUAUGCAAAAUCGAAAGAUGAAGUAUAUGGACUGACGCCUGCCCGGUGCUGGAAGGUUAAAUUGAGCUGUGCAAGCAGUGAUAUGAAGCCCCAGUAAACGGCGGCCGUAACUAUAACGGUCCUAAGGUAGCGAAAUUCCUUGUCGGGUAAGUUCCGACCCGCACGAAUGGCGUAACGAUUUCCCCACUGUCUCGGGUGUGGACUCAGCGAAAUUGAACUCUGAGUGAAGAUGCUCAGUAGCCGCGGCUAGACGGAAAGACCCCGUGCACCUUUACUAUAGGUUCGCAUUGAUGUUAGGGCUAACAUGUGCAGGAUAGGUGGGAAACUUUGAAAUGUAGUCGCCAGAUUACAUGGAGUUGUCCUUGAGAUACCACCCUUGUUAUCUUUGACAUCUAACCAAGACCAGUUAUCCUGGUCUGAGACAGUGCGUGCUGGGUAGUUUGACUGGGGCGGUCGCCUCCUAAAGAGUAACGGAGGCGUGCAAAGGUUGGCUCAGAGCGGUCGGAAAUCGCUCGACGAGUAUAAUGGCAAAAGCCAGCCUGACUGCGAGACAGACACGUCAAGCAGGUACGAAAGUAGGUCAUAGUGAUCCGGUGGUCCCGAAUGGAAGGGCCAUCGCUCAACGGAU